GGUGAGUAACACGUGGGUAACCUGCCUGUAAGACUGGGAUAACUCCGGGAAACCGGGGCUAAUACCGGAUGCUUGAUUGAACCGCAUGGUUCCAAUCAUAAAAGGUGGCUUUCAGCUACCACUUACUGAUGGACCCGCGGCGCAUUAGCUAGUUGGUGAGGUAACGGCUCACCAAGGCGACGAUGCGUAGCCGACCUGAGAGGGUGAUCGGCCACACUGGGACUGAGACACGGCCCAGACUCCUACGGGAGGCAGCAGUAGGGAAUCUUCCGCAAUGGACGAAAGUCUGACGGAGCAACGCCGCGUGAGUGAAGAAGGUUUUCGGAUCGUAAAACUCUGUUGUUAGGGAAGAACAAGUACCGUUCGAAUAGGGCGGCACCUUGACGGUACCUAACCAGAAAGCCACGGCUAACUACGUGCCAGCAGCCGCGGUAAUACGUAGGUGGCAAGCGUUGUCCGGAAUCAUUGGGCGUAAAGCGCGCGCAGGCGGUUUCUUAAGUCUGAUGUGAAAGCCCCCGGCUCAACCGGGGAGGGUCAUUGGAAACUGGGGAACUUGGGUGCAGAAGAGGAGAGUGGAAUUCCACGUGUAGCGGUGAAAUGCGUAGAGAUGUGGAGGAACACCAGUGGCGAAGGCGACUCUCUG
RNAcentral lists this ribosomal RNA (643 nucleotides) under uncultured Bacillus sp. Its description in RNAcentral is "bacterial SSU rRNA". It matches the Rfam family "Bacterial small subunit ribosomal RNA", at positions 105 to 731 of the family's 1533-position model. Lineage: Bacteria; Bacillati; Bacillota; Bacilli; Caryophanales; Bacillaceae. The record is from RNAcentral.